CCACACGACUCUCGGCAACGGAUAUCUCGGCUCUCGCAUCGAUGAAGAACGUAGCGAAAUGCGAUACCUGGUGUGAAUUGCAGAAUCCCGCGAACCAUCGAGUCUUUGAACGCAAGUUGCGCCCGAGGCCAUUCGGCCGAGGGCACGCCUGCUUGGGCGUCACG
RNAcentral lists this ribosomal RNA (164 nucleotides) under Amphibromus scabrivalvis. RNAcentral's name for it is "5.8S ribosomal RNA". It matches the Rfam family "5.8S ribosomal RNA". From Rfam's summary of the family: 5.8S ribosomal RNA (5.8S rRNA) is a component of the large subunit of the eukaryotic ribosome. It is transcribed by RNA polymerase I as part of the 45S precursor that also contains 18S and 28S rRNA. The record is from RNAcentral. Lineage: Eukaryota; Viridiplantae; Streptophyta; Magnoliopsida; Poales; Poaceae.